UAAAGCUACAAAGAGCUAAUGGGGAAUGCCUUGGUACUGACAGCCGAUGAAGGACGUGUAAAGCUGCGAUAAGCUGCGGGGAACUGCUAAAAGGUCUUGAUCCGCAGAAAUCCGAAUGGGGAAACCCUAUCAAGUUAAAACUUGAUAACUCACAAGUGAAUACAUAGCUUGUGUAGAGGAAAGCCUGUGAACUGAAACAUCUUAGUAACAGGACGAAGAGAAAAUAACCCAAUGAUUCCGAGAGUAGCGGCGAGCGAAAUUGGAAGAGCCUAAAUUGUGUGUACGUGAUAGCCUGCAAGCGUUGUGCACAUGAGGUUGUGGGACUUGCAUCAUAUUUUGCAGAAUAUGGAUUGAGUUACAAAAUUAUUUAUUAGUUAAAGUCAACUGGGAAGUUGCGCCAUAGAGAGUGAUAGCCUCGUAAACGACAAUAAAUAAUCUCAAGUAAGUAUCCCGAGUAAGGCGGGGCACGUGAAACCCUGUCUGAAUCCACCGGGACCAUCCGGUAAGGCUAAAUACUAGUCAGUGACCGAUAGUGAACGAGUACAGUGAUGGAAAGGCGAAAAGAACAGUGAGAAGCUGAGUGAAAUAGACCCUGAAACCGUUAGCUUACAACCAGUCAGAGCACAAUUAAUUGUGUUAUGGCGUGCCUGUUGAAGAAUGAGCCGGCGAGUUAUUUUUUGUUGCGAGGUUAAGGAGAUUAUAUCCGGAGCCACAGGGAAACCGAGUCUGAAUAGGGCGUUAAGUAACAGGAAAUAGACCCGAACCUUGGUGAUCUAACCUUGACCAGGAUGAAGCGUGGGUAACACUACGUGGAGGUCCGAACCAACCGAUGUUGAAAAAUCGGUGGAUGAGUUGAGGUUAGGGGUGAAAUGCCAAUCGAACCAAGAGCUAGCUGGUUCUCCCCGAAAUGCGUUUAGGCACAGCGUUGGAUUUAUCUUGCAGGAGGUAGAGCACUGGUUUUGUGCGGGCGUCGAAAUGAUGUACCAAACAAUGUCAAACUCCGAAUACCUGUAAUGUCAUUAUCCAGCAGUGAGGCUAUGAGUGAUAAGAUCCAUGGCCAAGAGGGAAACAGCCCAGAACGCCAGUUAAGGUCCCUAAUAUAUGCUAAGUGGUUAAGGAGGUAGAGUUACUGAGACAACCAGGAGGUUGGCUUAGAAGCAGCCAUCCCUUGAAAGAGUGCGUAAUAGCUCACUGGUCAAGUGACUCCGCGCCGAAAAUACACCGGGACUAAAGCAUAUAACCGAAGCUGCGUCAUAUAGUUUACUAUAUGGGUAGGGGAGCGUACUGUAGUAAGACGAAGCUAGAGUGAAAACACUAGUGGAUGAGGCAGUAGUGAGAAUGUCGGCAUAAGUAGCGAAAACAUUGGUGAGAAUCCAAUGCACCGAAAACCUAAGGUUUCCCACGGCAGGCUCGUCCGCGUGGGGUUAGUCGGAUCCUAAGCUCAGGCCAAACGGCGUAGGCGAUGGACAAUAGGUUGAUAUUCCUAUACUAUCUGAUAAUCGUUAUCAGAAGCGGAGGGACGCAAGAGGAUAAGCACGCAGUCGACUGGAAGAGACUGUAUAAGCGUGUAGCUAGGUUUGACAGGAAAAUCCGUCAAAUCGUUAAUGUGAGGCGUGAUGUGGAGAGUCUACGGACUCGAAGGUGUUGACUCCAAAUUGCCAAGAAAAUCUUCGCUCUCGAGAUUAUUGGGUAUCCGUACCGUAAACCGCCACAGGUAGGUUGGUAGAAAAUACUAAGGUGCGCGAGACAACUCUCGCUAAGGAACUCGGCAAAAUCACCUCGUAACUUCGGGAGAAGAGGUACCCUGGUAGCGUGAAGCGAUUUACUCGUGAAGCGUGAUAGGGUCGCAGUGAAUAGGCCCAAGCGACUGUUUACCAAAAACACAGGUCUCUGCUAAGUCGAUCAAGACGAUGUAUAGGGGCUGACGCCUGCCCGGUGUCGGAAGGUUACGCGGAAAUGUUAGAAGCAAUUCAAAGCAUCGAAGCUAAGCCCCGAUGAACGGCGGCCGUAACUAUAACGGUCCUAAGGUAGCGAAAUUCCUUGUCAGGU
Molecule: ribosomal RNA, 2049 nt
Filed under: human gut metagenome
Description: bacterial LSU rRNA
Rfam family: Bacterial large subunit ribosomal RNA
Source: RNAcentral